AUACGGAGGAUCCGAGCGUUAUCCGGAUUUAUUGGGUUUAAAGGGUGCGCAGGCGGGAGAUUAAGGCGGCGGUGAAAUUUUUGAGCUCAACUGUACAAGGGCCUUUGGAACUGGGUUUCUUGAGUGUUGAUGAAGUAGGCGGGAUUUGUGGGUGAGCGGUGGAAUGCAUAGAUAUCACGAGGAACUCCGAUUGCGCAGGCAGCUUACUAAACUACUACUGACGCUCAGGCACGAAGGCGUGGGGAUCAAACAGGAUUAGAUACCCUGGUAGUCCACGCAGUAAACGAUGAUUACUAGCUGUUUGCGAUACAAUGUAAGCGGCUGAGCGAAAGCGUUAAGUAAUCCACCUGGGGAGUACGUUCGCAAGAAUGAAACUCAAAGGAAUUGACGGGG
Molecule: ribosomal RNA, 393 nt
Filed under: uncultured bacterium
Lineage: Bacteria
Description: partial 16S ribosomal RNA
Rfam family: Bacterial small subunit ribosomal RNA
Source: RNAcentral